GACGAACGCUGGCGGCGUGCUUAACACAUGCAAGUCGAACGGUGAAGCAGAGCUUGCUCUGUGGUUCAGUGGCGAACGGGUGAGUAACACGUGAGUAACCUGCCCUUUACUCUGGGAUAAGCGUUGGAAACGACGUCUAAUACUUGAUACGACGACCGAAGUCAUCUUCUGGUUGUGGAAAGAAUUUUGGUCACGGAUGUACUCGCGGCCUAUCAGCUUGUUGGUGAGGUAAUGGCUCACCAAGGCGACGACGGGUAUCCGUCCUGAGAGGGUGACCGUCCACAAUGGGACUGAGAGACGGACCAGACUCCUACGGGAGGCAGCAGGGGGGAAUAUUGCACAAUGGGAGCAAGCCUGAGGCAGAAACGCCGCGUGAGGGAUGACGGCCUUCGGGUUGUAAACAUCUUUUAGUAGGGAAGAAGCGAAAGUGACGGUACCUGAAGAAUAAGCACCGGCUAACUACGUG
RNAcentral lists this ribosomal RNA (466 nucleotides) under uncultured bacterium. RNAcentral's name for it is "partial 16S ribosomal RNA". It matches the Rfam family "Bacterial small subunit ribosomal RNA", at positions 28 to 507 of the family's 1533-position model. The record is from RNAcentral.